GAUUGAACGCUGGCGGCAUGCCUUCCCCAUGCAAGUCGAACGGUAACGGGCCUUCGGGUGCCGACGAGUGGCGAACGGGUGAGUAAUACAUCGGAACGUGCCCGAUCGUGGGGGAUAACGAGGCGAAAGCUUUGCUAAUACCGCAUACGGUCUACGGAUGAAAGCAGGGGACCGCAAGGCCUUGCGCGGACGGAGCGGCCGAUGGCAGAUUAGGUAGUUGGUGGGAUAAAAGCUUACCAAGCCGACGAUCUGUAGCUGGUCUGAGAGGAUGAUCAGCCACACUGGGACUGAGACACGGCCCAGACUCCUACGGGAGGCAGCAGUGGGGAAUUUUGGACAAUGGGCGCAAGCCUGAUCCAGCCAUGCCGCGUGCAGGAUGAAGGCCUUCGGGUUGUAAACUGCUUUUGUACGGAACGAAAAGCCUUCUUUUAAUACAGGAGGGUCAUGACGGUACCGUAAGAAUAAGCACCGGCUAACUACGUG
RNAcentral lists this ribosomal RNA (483 nucleotides) under uncultured bacterium. RNAcentral describes it as "partial 16S ribosomal RNA". It matches the Rfam family "Bacterial small subunit ribosomal RNA", at positions 27 to 507 of the family's 1533-position model. The record is from RNAcentral.